RNAcentral lists this ribosomal RNA (464 nucleotides) under uncultured bacterium. Its description in RNAcentral is "partial 16S ribosomal RNA". It matches the Rfam family "Bacterial small subunit ribosomal RNA", at positions 338 to 795 of the family's 1533-position model. The record is from RNAcentral.
CCUACGGGAGGCUGCAGUAGGGAAUUUUCCACAAUGGGCGAAAGCCUGAUGGAGCAACGCCGCGUGGGUGAAGAAGGUCUUCGGAUCGUAAAACCCUGUUGUUAGAGAAGAAAGUGCGUGAGAGUAACUGUUCACGUUUCGACGGUAUCUAACAAGAAAGCCACGGCUAACUACGUGCCAGCAGCCGCGGUAAAACGUAGGUGGCAAGCGUUAUCCGGAUUUAUUGGGGUAAAGGGGUGCGUAGGCGGGCUGUUAAGUCAGCGGUAAAAGCGCGGGGCCCAACCCCGGCGAGCCGUUGAAACUGGCAGUCUUGAGAUGGCGAGAGGUAUGCGGAAUGCGCAGUGUAGCGGUGAAAUGCUUAGAUAUUGCGCAGAACUCCGAUUGCGAAGGCAGCAUACCGGCGGCGAUCUGACGCUGAGGCACGAAAGCGUGGGUAUCGAACAGGAUUAGAUACCCUUGUAGUC